CACGAUAAAGGCAAACCCAGAGUGAUCUGGGGACGCAAAGUAAAAGGGUCUUUUAGACGUACACGGACGCAGAUUGCAAAAGACGAUUUUACAGUAAAGACAGCCUUACUGCCGAAG
RNAcentral lists this non-coding RNA (117 nucleotides) under Candidatus Brocadia. Its description in RNAcentral is "c-di-GMP sequence". It matches the Rfam family "c-di-GMP-I-GGC riboswitch aptamer". The record is from RNAcentral. RNAcentral also lists the same sequence under 1 other name. Lineage: Bacteria; Pseudomonadati; Planctomycetota; Candidatus Brocadiia; Candidatus Brocadiales; Candidatus Brocadiaceae.